Molecule: long non-coding RNA, 4401 nt
Filed under: Homo sapiens (human)
Lineage: Eukaryota; Metazoa; Chordata; Mammalia; Primates; Hominidae
Description: HSALNT0223263
Source: RNAcentral
AGAGUGUUGAGAUUCCCAAUGAACACAUGGGAGUUCAUGGAGCAAGGAUUUGUCUUGUUGGUAACGUUGCUGGCCAUUGUGUUUGCUGAUAAGGUUUCUCACAAAGCUGAAAACAGGAGGGGGAGGGAGAAGAGAUUCGAUUCUGAGUCUCCUACUCCCGGGUUCUACAUGGAGAAGCCAACUGCUGCUCAAGGUCACCAACACGGCCACAACCACUCAGUCUUCGUCUCUUCACAAAAAAAUCAAUAGUAGGUUUUUUUCCUCACCUGUGUAACAUCUUGUCACUCCAGAUAAACACCACCAUCCCUGAGCUGGACUUGACCCAAGUUCCCUGGUCACAUCUCCAUGGCUUCCAAGUAGAUGACAGCAUCCUGGCUGGGCUAUCAGGUCCCAGGAUGCAAUGAUAUUACAGAAAUAGUUCCUGUGGCCCCAUAAGUCUACAGGAUUGAGGCUGCUUCUCACCUCUGUCUCCUUCCAAAUUGGCUCUGGAACAGGGAUAGGCUGUAAUAUAUAGAUGGGACCCUCAGAACCUCUACCUGAGGGGUUCAGGGGAGCCAGAGGCAGGUAACACCAGGCAGGAUCCUCCUUGAAUUCAUCCUUUAUGCCUUUAACAAAGUAACCAAGCACAUGCUCUAGCGAUAAUCAAUUUAGGCACAUCCCACAGAUUCCAGCUUCUCUGCCACCAACCACCAGGCAUGAUCUAAGCAAGCUCUUUCACCUCUUGGAGCCUUAAUUUUCUCAUCUACAAAAUGGAAUAACGCGAUCAUCCUUGAAGCCAUGAAUAUCAAUUAUUACAGAAAUGAAAAGGGAUCCUGCACCCAAAUUCAAAUCAAGCAAGUUCACCUAGAGGUUGCCGUGGGGUGGAGGGCCCAGAUCUGGGCUGUUUGGAUCUCUCUGCAGGAUGAAAGGGAUUUCCUGGACCUGGCUUUGCUGUCCCUUGCUCCUUUUGUAAGCAUCUGACUCUUCCUCUAUCCAUAAAGAUGAAGACAUUCUUUCGCAGGGAUUUAAUAUUGGGGCUGCAUGCCUGGCCCCUGAGAAAGCCCAAGCUUCCUCCUCCUUUUGAAUCGAACCCAGUGCAGCUUUAUGCGCUCCAGACGAGCCUGCAUUCCCCCUAAUGCCCCUGGAAUUGCUUACUCACACCAAAAUCCGCUGCCUCAGGCGUUUCCAGCCAGAGGUAAGCCUUCUUUUCAUGGGCAAUCAGGCAGUAGCCUGGAGCACAGAGGGGAAGGGGGGCACCUGCAUGCCCGGCUGGGUCUCUGUAGACAGUGGAUCAUGCGAGGCCUCCCCUCUCCUUGACCCUGUGUGAUGAGCCCUGGGAGGAGGCACCCAGGCCAGGGGAGGAGCUGCGUAGUGACAGAAAGGGCAUCUACAUCUCUACCACGUAAGUGGGGAAACUGAGGCUGGGCCUAGCACCAGAUCACUCAUGUUGAAACCUAGGUUUGAACUGGGUCUCUGAAUCCCCAUCCAGAGCUCACUGCCUUAAGGCUGAGGUGCCUGUGAGUGUCUGAGGACCCUUACUAUGAGACAGUGUUAUCGCUGACUUACAGUCUGGGUAAAGAAGGUGAAUGCAGUCAGAGGAGUAGAUUCAGGUGUCAGACAUUUGCAUAAAAUACCAAUUGCUCCUCAUGUUGGGGAGGUAAUUCACAAGCUUGAAUCUCUAAAAGGCUGCAUCUGGUGGAGGGCGGGGCUAUGUGUCUGUGCACGUCUGGUCUUUGGAGUUCUUAUUCAGCAAAUAUUGAUUGCAAGCCCACCAUGUGCCAGGCAUCAUGCCUGGGGCUUGGGAUCCAGAGAUGAAGAGACAGUCAACCAAGUCCAUCAGGCUCUGCCAACCCCUGUAGUGUGAGUGGUGGUUGGAGCACGUGUUAUACCCCCAAAAGGUGGGCUUGGCCAAGCCCUUCCACUUACCAGCCAUGUGUCCUUCUGGAUGGCAGUUUCCUCAUCUGCAAAAUGUGUGUAGCCCUAAGACCUGUCACCCAGGACCAUUUGGGAGGUCAGCUGUUGUUUUGCAGGUGAAAAGAUCCAUCUGGUCUCUGGGCCUGGCACUCUAUCUAUAAAAUGAGGCUCUACUCCAGCAUGUACCCACGGUGUGCUCUGGGUAGUAAACUGUGGUGGUUUAGCACUUUGCCUUUGGGUCUGACAGUCCUGGAUUCAAAUCCAGACUCUGCCCUCUACUGUGUAACCUGGUGCAUGUCACUUAACCUCUGUGGAACCCAGUAUUCUCAACUAUUAAAUGAGGAUGAUAAUAGUAGUAAUCAUAGUAGUACCUAGCUCAGACUGUUGGUGUAAAAAUUAAAUGAGCUAAUUAAAAUUAAAAAGUAAAGUGUUUUGCACAGAGACACUCCUAGUAAGCCCUGAAGAAAUGAGAGCUAUGCUUUUGAUUAUUAAUAUUCUUAUAAUCCAAAGGAUGAUGCAGGAUUUUUUAAAUCUUUCCACAUGUAUGUUUUUGGACCAGUCCAAAAAAGAAUUGGAAACACACUUAUGCCGCAUAAAGACAGAGUUAUGAGGAACUAUAAAAACAAAAUAAAACCUUUGGAGAAUCAACUGCAAAGACAUGUAUUCUGUUUUUAUUAUAGUUCUGAGCCCAACAGUGUCUCACCAGGUGACUACCUGAGAUAUCCAACAUCAUAUGUCCACCAGAGGGUGGGGAACACUCAGCCCCUUUUUAUCAACACCUUCACUGUCCAGCCAGCCCCUAACUGGCCCCUUUCUGUCUGAAGGAGGUGGCUGAGUCUCUGGGCCGGACUCUCCGCUCCUCCCAGCCGCCUCUGCCUAUCCAUCCCAUGGCCACCUGAGCCGCUCUCCACACUCUUGAACCCAGAGCCAAGACACACAAGUGCUGAGUCUCAUCAGUAACUGCAAUCUCAUGAAAGCACUCUUGGGCCUCAGUCACCUUGAAGAGCAGGAAAGGCUCUGAGGGGACAUUCAUUCCACCCAUCAUCUCAGGUUCCAGUUUGCUUUAAAGGAAACUGAGGCAUCGUAAAAGUUAAAGACAUGUGGAGGAUCAUACCAGAAGUUGAGAGCCCAGCCAAUCUAAGUGCUGGGACUUUCACAGUUGUCAGGGGGCAUUACAGCUGUAUAUUCAAAGCCUCAACUGUAUCUUGCAAUCACCUGGCACAGCUACAGUGCCCAGGCCACACCCUGGACCAAUUAAAUCAGAAUCUCUGGGAAUGAGAUCCAGGCAUCAGUAUCAGAUAGCCAAGCUUAUAUACUCCUGCAUUAAAGUGAGAAGGCCCCCAUGUGAACACUAAAUGCCUUAAUUCACAUUAUUUUUGCACGGUUCUCAAACCUACUCUUGCCCAGCCACAUCCUGAAGAUUCUGAUGUAAUUUGCCAUGCAUCAGGACCCUUCAAAACUCCCAGGUGACUCCAACAAGCAGCUAAGGCUGAGAACCACUGUGUUCAUCUACCACCUUCAUUUAACUUUAAAACUGUAUUUACUCUUUAAGUAAAAUCAUAAUAUUUAAUUGCAGAAAAGAAAAGAAAAAAGUACCUGUUCAGCUGAGAUGCAAUCCAUUGCAUGUUAAUCUGUAUUCACAUUCCAGGAAAUAGAAGCAUUUGUAGUUACAGGAAUUUUUAUCUGUGGUUUUACAUCUUUACACACAGGUGUAUAGACUUGCUUAUGUGUCAGUCCGUUACUGCAAUGUGCCAAUUAAGACAUUUAUUGAGUUUGAUUUGGUAUAAGUAAUUAUGAGUUAUAAAAGAUCAUUCUGAAUCAACAACGUAAUAAAUAACCAUCUUUAAUGUAAUAGAAUAUAAGUUUAGUUAGAGUCAUGAAACCUUCUGUCUCAGCACAUGGUUCCUAUAAACCGAAAAAGACAAAAGCAUUUGGUGAGUAGCUGUCAGCUGAAGAAAAUGUCUGGAAAGGGACUUUCCCUCAAAUCAGACGGAAAUUCCUGCUCUCCCUUUUUUUUUUUUUAAGCAAGAGUACCUAAAAUUCCAAAAAGUCCUAUACCCCUUUAUUCACCUUAUAAAGAAGUCUGUGGAAUAAGCCCCCUUCCCUCACCAACCACCCAACCGCUUUUCUCAAGGGGAGACCCUAAACCCAGUCGCAGAGAGCACAUUUUGAAUAAGCAAAGUGGAGAUCUCACUGACAAAACACAAAGGCUACCCCAGCAUCCUCAGGCAGGGGGCGCAUACCUGGGCCCCCUAUGCCCAAGGUCUCCUCCUGGAAUCCCCUGCUGUCCUCGGGCACCCAGAGCGGGAACGCCAGGUUUUCCCCAUCACGCAAGUGCAGGCGGCGCGGGGGUUCCGGAGGCUGUGAGUGUCAAUCACCUACCCUUAUCAGUUCUCCGUCCAACACUUACAGUCACAAAGCUGGGCUGGAAAAGUGAUAAGGGGACGUGACUGGCCGGCAAAGAAGUUUUGAUGAAGCUUUGCAGGACAAGAUGUAAAUGGACGUUUG